This 198-nucleotide unclassified non-coding RNA is filed under the name Glomeraceae sp. Its description in RNAcentral is "partial contains 5.8S ribosomal RNA and internal transcribed spacer 2". The stretch from base 1 to 71 matches the Rfam family "5.8S ribosomal RNA", at positions 84 to 154 of the family's 154-position model. The record is from RNAcentral. Lineage: Eukaryota; Fungi; Glomeromycota; Glomeromycetes; Glomerales; Glomeraceae.
GUGAAUCAUCAAAUUUUUGAACGCAAAUUGCACUCCCUGGUAUUCCGGGGAGUAUGCCUGUUUGAGGGUCGUUAGAAUAAAAAAUCUAGGCGUCGGUCUUUUUUUGAGGGUGUUCGCGUCGGUAUUGAGCGGUCUUUCCGAUGUUAAUUCAUGUCAAAUUGCCUUGAAAUUCAUCUAUCGGGUACGCUUCAAACGUAC